This 460-nucleotide ribosomal RNA is filed under the name uncultured bacterium. Its description in RNAcentral is "partial 16S ribosomal RNA". It matches the Rfam family "Bacterial small subunit ribosomal RNA", at positions 338 to 795 of the family's 1533-position model. The record is from RNAcentral.
CCUACGGGGGGCAGCAGUGAGGAAUAUUGGUCAAUGGACGAGAGUCUGAACCAGCCAAGUAGCGUGAAGGAUGACUGCCCUAUGGGUUGUAAACUUCUUUUAUAUGGGAAUAAAAUGUUCCACGUGUGGGAUUUUGUAUGUACCAUAUGAAUAAGGAUCGGCUAACUCCGUGCCAGCAGCCGCGGUAAUACGGAGGAUCCGAGCGUUAUCCGGAUUUAUUGGGUUUAAAGGGAGCGUAGGUGGAUUGUUAAGUCAGUUGUGAAAGUUUGCGGCUCAACCGUAAAAUUGCAGUUGAAACUGGCAGUCUUGAGUACAGUAGAGGUGGGCGGAAUUCGUGGUGUAGCGGUGAAAUGCUUAGAUAUCACGAAGAACUCCGAUUGCGAAGGCAGUUCACUGGACCGCAACUGACACUGAGGCUCGAAAGUGUGGGUAUCAAACAGGAUUAGAUACCCCUGUAGUC